Molecule: ribosomal RNA, 988 nt
Filed under: Salmonella enterica subsp. enterica serovar Newport
Lineage: Bacteria; Pseudomonadati; Pseudomonadota; Gammaproteobacteria; Enterobacterales; Enterobacteriaceae
Description: partial 23S ribosomal RNA
Rfam family: Bacterial large subunit ribosomal RNA
Source: RNAcentral
UCGUCACACUAUCAUUAACUGAAUCCAUAGGUUAAUGAGGCGAACCGGGGGAACUGAAACAUCUAAGUACCCCGAGGAAAAGAAAUCAACCGAGAUUCCCCCAGUAGCGGCGAGCGAACGGGGAGGAGCCCAGAGCCUGAAUCAGCAUGUGUGUUAGUGGAAGCGUCUGGAAAGGCGCGCGAUACAGGGUGACAGCCCCGUACACAAAAGCGCAUGUGCUGUGAGCUCGAUGAGUAGGGCGGGACACGUGGUAUCCUGUCUGAAUAUGGGGGGACCAUCCUCCAAGGCUAAAUACUCCUGACUGACCGAUAGUGAACCAGUACCGUGAGGGAAAGGCGAAAAGAACCCCGGCGAGGGGAGUGAAAAAGAACCUGAAACCGUGUACGUACAAGCAGUGGGAGCACAGGUUUACCUGUGUGACUGCGUACCUUUUGUAUAAUGGGUCAGCGACUUAUAUUCUGUAGCAAGGUUAACCGUAUAGGGGAGCCGAAGGGAAACCGAGUCUUAACCGGGCGUUAAGUUGCAGGGUAUAGACCCGAAACCCGGUGAUCUAGCCAUGGGCAGGUUGAAGGUUGGGUAACACUAACUGGAGGACCGAACCGACUAAUGUUGAAAAAUUAGCGGAUGACCUGUGGCUGGGGGUGAAAGGCCAAUCAAACCGGGAGAUAGCUGGUUCUCCCCGAAAGCUAUUUAGGUAGCGCCUCGUGAAUUCAUCUCCGGGGGUAGAGCACUGUUUCGGCUAGGGGGCCAUCCCGGCUUACCAACCCGAUGCAAACUGCGAAUACCGGAGAAUGUUAUCACGGGAGACACACGGCGGGUGCUAACGUCCGUCGUGAAGAGGGAAACAACCCAGACCGCCAGCUAAGGUCCCAAAGUCAUGGUUAAGUGGGAAACGAUGUGGGAAGGCCCAGACAGCCAGGAUGUUGGCUUAGAAGCAGCCAUCAUUUAAAGAAAGCGUAAUAGCUCACUGGUCGAGUCGGCCUGCGCG